GACGAACGCUGGCGGCGUGCUUAACACAUGCAAGUCGAACGGAAAGGCCCUGCUUUUGUGGGGUGCUCGAGUGGCGAACGGGUGAGUAACACGUGAGUAACCUGCCCUUGACUUUGGGAUAACUUCAGGAAACUGGGGCUAAUACCGGAUAGGAGCUCCUGCUGCAUGGUGGGGGUUGGAAAGUUUCGGCGGUUGGGGAUGGACUCGCGGCUUAUCAGCUUGUUGGUGGGGUAGUGGCUUACCAAGGCUUUGACGGGUAGCCGGCCUGAGAGGGUGACCGGCCACAUUGGGAGUGGAAUACGGCCCAAGCUCCUAGGGGGGGGAGCGGGGGGGAAUUUUGCACAAUGGGCGGAAGCCUGAGGCAGCAACGCCGGGGGGGGGAUGACGGCCUUGGGGUUGAAAACCGCUUUCGCCUGUGACGAAGCGUGGGUGACGGUAAUGGGGAAAGAAGCACCGGCUAACUACGU
RNAcentral lists this ribosomal RNA (467 nucleotides) under uncultured bacterium. RNAcentral's name for it is "partial 16S ribosomal RNA". It matches the Rfam family "Bacterial small subunit ribosomal RNA", at positions 28 to 506 of the family's 1533-position model. The record is from RNAcentral.